RNAcentral lists this ribosomal RNA (248 nucleotides) under uncultured bacterium. RNAcentral's name for it is "partial 16S ribosomal RNA". It matches the Rfam family "Bacterial small subunit ribosomal RNA", at positions 524 to 771 of the family's 1533-position model. The record is from RNAcentral.
GACGAAGGGGGCUAGCGUUGUUCGGAAUUACUGGGCGUAAAGCGCGUGUAGGCGGUUGCCCAAGUCGGGUGUGAAAGCCUUGAGCUCAACUCAAGAAAUGCACUCGGUACUGGGUGACUAGAGGACCGGAGAGGAUAGUGGAAUUCCCAGUGUAGUGGUGAAAUACGUAGAGAUUGGGAAGAACACCAGUGGCGAAGGCGGCUAUCUGGACGGUUUCUGACGCUAAGACGCGAAAGCGUGGGGAGCAA